UAGCUCAGUUGGUAGAGCAUCUGAUUUGUAAUCAGAGGGUCGAGGGUUCAAGUCC
RNAcentral lists this transfer RNA (55 nucleotides) under Enterococcus lactis. RNAcentral's name for it is "tRNA-Thr". It matches the Rfam family "tRNA", at positions 8 to 60 of the family's 71-position model. From Rfam's summary of the family: Transfer RNA (tRNA) molecules are approximately 80 nucleotides in length. Lineage: Bacteria; Bacillati; Bacillota; Bacilli; Lactobacillales; Enterococcaceae. The record is from RNAcentral.